This 253-nucleotide ribosomal RNA is filed under the name uncultured bacterium. Its description in RNAcentral is "partial 16S ribosomal RNA". It matches the Rfam family "Bacterial small subunit ribosomal RNA", at positions 524 to 776 of the family's 1533-position model. The record is from RNAcentral.
UACGAAGGGGGCUAGCGUUGUUCAGAAUUACUGGGCGUAAAGCGCACGUAGGCGGAUACUUAAGUCAGGGGUGAAAUCCCGGGGCUCAACCCCGGAACUGCCCUUGAAACUGGAGAGCUAGAAUCUUGGAGAGGCGAGUGGAAUUCCGAGUGUAGAGGUGAAAUUCGUAGAUAUUCGGAAGAACACCCGUGGCGAAGGCGGCUCUCUGGAACGCAACUGACGCUGAGACGCGAAAGCGUGGGGAGCAAACAGG